UACAUCUAUAAUAUCAUUAUGACAUUUUGCCACAUUUGUGAAAUUGUGAUCUAAAAUUAUGAAUCUCAUUUUGCAGUCCAACUUGCUAAGGGAUACCCACUGCCCACAAUUGGAAAGAUGAAGCUUAUGAACACCCAGCUUGAUGUGCUGAAGGACUACAUCCUGAUUGGGACAGAUGUUCAGUUCAGCUGAACUGCACUCCUGAAAACUCCCAGGAUUCUUUUCUGCAUUCUGGCGUCCUUCCAUGAAGACACAAUUACAGUCAGAGUACGAUAAUCUGGUAGAAAUCCCCAAGAAAACAGCUAAAUAAGUAUUACUUUUGACAGCAGUCAGAAUAUUGUGUUUUCUAUGUAUUGGUUCUCCUCUGAAGUUAACCAUUUCUAUAUUUAGUGCGUAUGGACUUUUUUAAUAUAAGUGAAAUGAGUUGCCAAGGACAUCAUCAGCACACUCAUCAGCUAAAUGUCUUCUGAGCUCCAGUCUGUAGACCACUUUAGGACUGCUAGUCUUUUUGCAACUGCAUACAUCACUCUGUGGUUGGUAGAGAUUAAAAGAAUAUAAAUAUAAACUACUUCCACAUGGUUUUAUGGGUGAAGCUACAUGACAUUAAUCUUAGCAACCAGGAUACAGUUGCCAAGCUAGCUGUAACCAAGCUAGCUGUAACCAAACUAGCUGUAACCAAGCUAGCUGUAACCAAGCUAGCUGCACAAAUAUGACAUGAUUCAUUUGCAACAAUAAGUAUUUUGGCAAAGGAAAGCUAAGCUACUACUUCAGCCCUGCAGUCUGAGUUAACCUUUUUCUCUCAAGACUACAUUUUGACAUAUAAGUCAGCUUGGAAUUACUUAGUUGGGAUUAGAAUUGGACUGUAGAAUUUACCUUAGCGUGUCAGCCGGCUAAUAUUAGCUAACGCUUGCUUCCCUGUUUGCUUUUUGUAAGUUACCUUACAGCAUGUUCAGACAUUGGCAAUUUAGAGUGCUUAAUAAAUGACAAAGUCACAUAAAA
This is a non-coding RNA of Neolamprologus brichardi, 999 nucleotides long. The record is from RefSeq and is a predicted model, not a curated record. NCBI's taxonomy places the organism in Eukaryota, Metazoa, Chordata, Actinopteri, Cichliformes, Cichlidae.